GCGUGAUGAAUAAUUUAUAUGGCAUAGGAAGUAGGGAGCGUGAGGAUCGGUUCUUUGCAUGAUUAGCCCAAAGAAUUAGAAAUGGGGAAAUAACUCUUUGUUCCAUAAUUGUAUCAAGUUUUUAGUGACAAAGGGGAAAUUAUUGUUGAUGUUUGGCAACAAAUGGGAUAUUUGUGGGUGGAACAUAUUAUGGAGGAGGUCUUUCUUGAAUGAGAAGUUGUUUAACAUGAGA
RNAcentral lists this long non-coding RNA (232 nucleotides) under Lupinus angustifolius (narrow-leaved blue lupine). Its description in RNAcentral is "long non-coding RNA (LANG_LNC002234)". The record is from RNAcentral. Lineage: Eukaryota; Viridiplantae; Streptophyta; Magnoliopsida; Fabales; Fabaceae.